UGAACGCUGGCGGCGGCCUAAACAUGCAAGUCGAGCGGAAACGAAGAGGUGCUUGCACCUCUGGCGUCGAGCGGCGGACGGGUGAGUAAUGCUUGGGAAUAUGCCUUAUGGUGGGGGACAACAGUUGGAAACGACUGCUAAUACCGCAUAAUGUCUACGGACCAAAGUGGGGGACCUUCGGGCCUCACGCCAUAAGAUUAGCCCAAGUGGGAUUAGCUAGUUGGUGAGGUAAUGGCUCACCAAGGCGACGAUCCCUAGCUGGUUUGAGAGGAUGAUCAGCCACACUGGGACUGAGACACGGCCCAGACUCCUACGGGAGGCAGCAGUGGGGAAUAUUGCACAAUGGGCGCAAGCCUGAUGCAGCCAUGCCGCGUGUGUGAAGAAGGCCUUCGGGUUGUAAAGCACUUUCAGUAAGGAGGAAAGGUUAAGUGUUAAUAGCGCUUAGCUGUGACGUUACUUACAGAAGAAGCACCGGCUAACUCCGUGCCAGCAGCCGCGGUAAUACGGAGGGUGCGAGCGUUAAUCGGAAUUACUGGGCGUAAAGCGUACGCA
Molecule: ribosomal RNA, 552 nt
Filed under: uncultured bacterium
Lineage: Bacteria
Description: bacterial SSU rRNA
Rfam family: Bacterial small subunit ribosomal RNA
Source: RNAcentral